RNAcentral lists this ribosomal RNA (461 nucleotides) under uncultured bacterium. RNAcentral describes it as "partial 16S ribosomal RNA". It matches the Rfam family "Bacterial small subunit ribosomal RNA", at positions 338 to 795 of the family's 1533-position model. The record is from RNAcentral.
CCUACGGGUGGCAGCAGUGAGGAAUAUUGGUCAAUGGCCGUAAGGCUGAACCAGCCAAGUCGCGUGAAGGAAGCAGGAUCUAUGGUUUGUAAACUUCUUUUGUGCGGGAGCAAUAAUGGUCACGUGUGGCCAGACGAGAGUACCGUACGAAUAAGCAUCGGCUAACUCCGUGCCAGCAGCCGCGGUAAUACGGGGGAUGCAAGCGUUAUCCGGAUUUAUUGGGUUUAAAGGGUGCGUAGGCUGUGAGGUAAGUCAGCGGUGAAAUGCCCCCGCUCAACGGGGUGAAGUGCCAUUGAUACUGCCUUGCUGGAAUGCGGAUGCCGUGGGAGGAAUGUGUGGUGUAGCGGUGAAAUGCAUAGAUAUCACACAGAACACCGAUUGCGAAGGCAUCUCACGAAUCCGCGAUUGACGCUGAUGCACGAAAGCGUGGGUAUCAAACAGGAUUAGAUACCCUUGUAGUC